AUAACGGUCCUAAGGUAGCGAAAUUCCUUGUCAGGUAAGUUCUGACCCGCACGAAAGGCGUAAUGAUUUGGGCACUGUCUCAACAGCCCGCCCGGCGAAAUUGUAGUACUGGUGAAGAUACCAGUUACCCGCAACUAGACGGGAAGACCCCAUGGAGCUUUACUGCAGCUUAAUACUGGAAUUCGGUAACCCAUGUACAGGAUAGGUGGGAGGCUUGGAAGCAGGGGCGUCAGCUCUUGUGGAGCCGCCGGUGGGAUACCACUCUUGGAUUGCUGAAUUUCUAACCUGCGGCCGUGAAUCCGGUCGGGGGACACUGUUAGGCGGGCAGUUUGACUGGGGCGGUCGCCUCCUAAAGAGUAACGGAGGCGCUCAAAGGUUGGCUCAGCACGGACGGAAAUCGUGCAGUGAGUGUAAACGUAGAAGCCAGCCUAACUGCGAGACCGACGGGUCGAGCAGUAACGAAAGUUGGAGUUAGUGAUCCGGUGGUAUGUGAGUGGAAAUGCCAUCGCUCAACGGAUAAAAGCUACCCUGGGGAUAACAGGCUGAUCUCCCCCAAGCGUCCACAGCGACGGGGAGGUUUGGCACCUCGAUGUCGGCUCGUCACAUCCUGGGGCUGAAUUCGGUCCCAAGGGUUCGGCUGUUCGCCGAUUAAAGUGGCACGCGAGCUGGGUUCAGAACGUCGUGAGACAGUUCGGUCCCUAUCUGUUGCGGGCGGAAGAGAUUUGAAGGGAGCUGUCCUUAGUACGAGAGGACCGGGAUGGACGUACCUCUGGUGCACCAGUUGUCCUGCCAAGGGCAUAGCUGGGUAGCUAAGUACGGACGAGAUAAACGCUGAAAGCAUCUAAGCGUGAAACUCCCCCUAAGAUGAGAUCUCUCACCUCGAAAGAGGGUAAGGGCCCAGGAAGACUACCUGGUAGAUAGGCCGGAGGUGGAAGUGCAGUAAUGUAUGGAGCUGACCGGUACUAAUCGCCCGAGGGCUUGACCUA
Molecule: ribosomal RNA, 986 nt
Filed under: human gut metagenome
Description: bacterial LSU rRNA
Rfam family: Bacterial large subunit ribosomal RNA
Source: RNAcentral